GAUGAACGCUGACAGAGUGCUUAACACAUGCAAGUCUACUUGAUCCUUCGGGUGAUGGUGGCGGACGGGUGAGUAACGCGUAAAGAACUUGCCUUGCAGUCUGGGACAACGUCUGGAAACGGACGCUAAUACCGGAUAUUAUGUGAGUUUCGCAUGAAAUUCAUAUGAAAGCUAUAUGCGCUGCAGGAGAGCUUUGCGUCCUAUUAGCUAGUUGGUGAGGUAACGGCUCACCAAGGCGAUGAUAGGUAGCCGGCCUGAGAGGGUGAACGGCCACAAGGGGACUGAGACACGGCCCUU
Molecule: ribosomal RNA, 297 nt
Filed under: uncultured bacterium
Lineage: Bacteria
Description: partial 16S ribosomal RNA
Rfam family: Bacterial small subunit ribosomal RNA
Source: RNAcentral